GCCAGGGAAUUACGAGCUAAGCUUAAAACCCAAGGGACUUGACGGUACCCCACAUUCCCCCUAGAGGAGCCUGUCCUAAAAUUGAUAACCCACGUUUAACCUCACCAUUUCUAGCCAAGUGAUUACCACUAAUCAGCCUGUAUACCUCCGUCGCCAGCUUACCACGUGAGCGUAAAUUAGUGAGCCCAAUGUCAAUUCACCAGAACGUCAGGUCAAGGUGCAGCAAAUGAAAUGGGAAGAGAUAGGCUACACUCUCUACACUAGAGAAAACAAAAAACUAUAUGAAAAUUAGUUGGAAGGCGGAUUUAGUAGUAAAAAGGAAUCAGCAUGUCCAUUUUAACCAGGCACUGGGGUAUGUACACACCGCCCGUCACCCUCUUCAAGACACCAACACAGUUCUUAACACAUCAAGACACCCAAGGAGAGGAAAGUCGUAACAUGGUAAGUAUACCGGAAGGUGUACUUGGCAA
This 470-nucleotide ribosomal RNA is filed under the name Parapelophryne scalpta (Hainan little toad). RNAcentral describes it as "partial 12S ribosomal RNA". It matches the Rfam family "Bacterial small subunit ribosomal RNA", at positions 871 to 1521 of the family's 1533-position model. Lineage: Eukaryota; Metazoa; Chordata; Amphibia; Anura; Bufonidae. The record is from RNAcentral.